This 507-nucleotide ribosomal RNA is filed under the name uncultured bacterium. RNAcentral's name for it is "bacterial SSU rRNA". It matches the Rfam family "Bacterial small subunit ribosomal RNA", at positions 19 to 518 of the family's 1533-position model. The record is from RNAcentral.
CUGGCUCAGGAUGAACGCUAGCUACAGGCUUAACACAUGCAAGUCGAGGGGCAGCAUGGAGUAGCAAUACUCAGAUGGCGACCGGCGCACGGGUGAGUAACACGUAUCCAACCUGCCGCUUACUCGGGGAUAGCCUUUCGAAAGAAAGAUUAAUACCCGAUGGUAUAAAGAGUUCGCAUGUUCUCUUUAUUAAAGAAUUUCGGUAAGCGAUGGGGAUGCGUUCCAUUAGAUAGUUGGCGGGGUAACGGCCCACCAAGUCUACGAUGGAUAGGGGUUCUGAGAGGAAGGUCCCCCACAUUAGAACUGAGACACGGUCCAAACUCCUACGGGAGGCAGCAGUGAGGAAUAUUGGUCAAUGGACGAGAGUCUGAACCAGCCGAGUAACGCGUGAAGGAUGACUGCCCUAUGGGUUGUAAACUUCUUUUAUAAGGGAAUAAAGUGAGGGACGUGUCCCUUUUUGUAUGUACCCUAUGAAUAAGGAUCGGCUAACUCCGUGCCAGCCGCCGC